Molecule: transfer RNA, 75 nt
Filed under: Campylobacterales bacterium
Lineage: Bacteria; Pseudomonadati; Campylobacterota; Epsilonproteobacteria; Campylobacterales
Also listed under: 1 other name
Description: tRNA-Gly
Rfam family: tRNA
About the family: Transfer RNA (tRNA) molecules are approximately 80 nucleotides in length. Their secondary structure includes four short double-helical elements and three loops (D, anti-codon, and T loops). Further hydrogen bonds mediate the characteristic L-shaped molecular structure. tRNAs have two regions of fundamental functional importance: the anti-codon, which is responsible for specific mRNA codon recognition, and the 3' end, to which the tRNAs corresponding amino acid is attached (by aminoacyl-tRNA synthetases). tRNAs cope with the degeneracy of the genetic code in two manners: having more than one tRNA (with a specific anti-codon) for a particular amino acid; and 'wobble' base-pairing, i.e. permitting non-standard base-pairing at the 3rd anti-codon position.
Source: RNAcentral
GCGAGAAUAGCUCAGUGGUAGAGCAUAACCUUGCCAAGGUUGGGGUCGGGAGUUCGAACCUCCUUUCUCGCUCCA